Molecule: ribosomal RNA, 274 nt
Filed under: uncultured bacterium
Lineage: Bacteria
Description: partial 16S ribosomal RNA
Rfam family: Bacterial small subunit ribosomal RNA
Source: RNAcentral
AUACGGAGGGUCCGAGCGUUAUCCGGAUUCAUUGGGUUUAAAGGGUCCGCAGGCGGGAAAAUAAGUCAGUGGUGAAAGCCUACAGCUCAACUGUAGAACUGCCAUUGAUACUGUUUUUCUUGAGUAUAGAUGAAGUGGGCGGAAUAUAUCAUGUAGCGGUGAAAUGCAUAGAUAUGAUAUAGAACACCGAUUGCGAAGGCAGCUCACUAAACUAUUACUGACGCUCAGGGACGAAAGCGUGGGGAGCGAACAGGAUUAGAAACCCUAGUAGUCC